GGCUGCCACUGAAAGACGGUUUGUUAGACUCAGAUCUGAGCAGGAGGUGGCAUGCCACCCACAAAGCACCGGGUCUGUCAGGGGAAGCAGGAGGAGGGGGCACUUGUGGACAAGAGUCUUUAUAUGGGUCCCCUAGGAGGGAGUGAGUGAGGCAGGGUGAGAAAGUUUGAAUUACUUCAGCUGGCGUUAAGUUCGGGGCUGUCCCUAGUUGUCCAGUAGCUGGCCCUGGAUGACUAGGGGUGGUGACGGUGGUCCAGAGUGUGAGAAUAACAGCACAGGAGAUGGCUGGGACGGGGAACAUUUCUUCCAUCUCUAGGAACUGGUGAACCCUGGAAAGGAGGGGCAGCCUGUCCGCAUGUCAAAGUCAGAGCACAGAAAGCAAGAGACCUGAUUCACAGGUUGAGGAGUGAGUGGGCAGACAAAUCUGAGGAUGUAAAAGCAAGGAGGAACCUUGACCACAGGGUCAGAGGCCCAUGGGCCCCCUCCUUUUCCCAGGGGAGAAAGUAGGCUGCUGGCUACCACAGCAUAGGUGCUGAAAGUUGGCUCUAUUCUUUGCAGGAGGACAGAACCUGCCUCCUGGAUGUGAGCAGAGCUACUUUCCCAUCUUUAGGGGAAAAAAUACAGGCAGAGAUCCUGCAGCUGUCUGAGGCCACCUCCACCACAAACUUCCUUAGUCAGCAGCACUGCUCCCAUCUUCAGCAACACUGGUCUGUAAAAACGCUGCUAUGAUGCCCUCGAUUCCUCCCUGGAAAGAGGCUGCUGGCCCCCAGUGCCCCUUGCCAGCUGGUUUCAGCCAACAGUGUUGCAGCACGUGGCACAACGUCCUGCAGCUACGCGGGCCUGCCGUGCCAAGUGCACUGUGUGGGACGGCGUUGGAGUUUCAGUUUCUCUGGUCAAGAGCGUGGGGAGCAACCCAAGAGCUCACAUGACGGUGAGUAUGUGCACGUGUGUGUGCACGCGUGUCUGUGUAUGUA
This 974-nucleotide long non-coding RNA is filed under the name Chinchilla lanigera (long-tailed chinchilla). RNAcentral describes it as "lncRNA (ENSCLAG00000023301.1)". The record is from RNAcentral. Lineage: Eukaryota; Metazoa; Chordata; Mammalia; Rodentia; Chinchillidae.